This 253-nucleotide ribosomal RNA is filed under the name uncultured bacterium. Its description in RNAcentral is "partial 16S ribosomal RNA". It matches the Rfam family "Bacterial small subunit ribosomal RNA", at positions 524 to 776 of the family's 1533-position model. The record is from RNAcentral.
UACAGAGGUCUCAAGCGUUGUUCGGAUUCAUUGGGCGUAAAGGGUGCGUAGGCGGCGCGGUAGGUCGGGUGUGAAAUCUUGGAGCUUAACUCCGAAACUGCAUUCGAUACUGCCGUGCUUGAGGACUGGAGAGGAGACUGGAAUUUACGGUGUAGCGGUGAAAUGCGUAGAUAUCGUAAGGAAGACCAGUGGCGAAGGCGGGUCUCUGGACAGUUCCUGACGCUGAGGCACGAAGGCCAGGGGAGCAAACGGG